RNAcentral lists this transfer RNA (72 nucleotides) under Loxodonta africana (African savanna elephant). It matches the Rfam family "tRNA". Rfam says of the family: Transfer RNA (tRNA) molecules are approximately 80 nucleotides in length. The record is from Rfam by way of RNAcentral. Lineage: Eukaryota; Metazoa; Chordata; Mammalia; Proboscidea; Elephantidae.
CUCUGGGUGGUGGAAACUGUUAACACGUUUGGCUGCUAACCAAAAGGUUGAAGGUUAGAGUUCACCCAGAGG